GCUAUUCUUGGCCGGGCCUGCUAGACCUGUUUCUAGUUCGCAGAAGUCCAUCUACUGAAUCUGCUCAUUUUUGUCAUAACUUGAUGGUGCCACCUUCCCCCUUAGUUGGAGUGGGAUAAUGGAGCGAGUCGCACAGAGGUGUCGAGUGAGUCGGACAAUUCUUUUUUCUUUAUUGAGGCAGUAGAUGUAUGUAUUUGGAUACGUUUUCUUCUGAGAAUUCAUUUCGAGCUGCGUCAUAUUCUUCAAAUAAAUAAGCUGUCUGCAGGCUGCAGACUUUCUGUGGGGAUUUCCAGUUCACAUCCUCGGUCAGUGUCAAUAAUCUAUUUCUUUACAUUUCAAGAUACUAAUCCCAUUUUAUUUUAUUUGUCAAAAUAGUCAAGAUGGGUGACAGAAACUUGAUUGAGAAAAACAUUGAUUUAUAACAUCUGUGGAUGCCAAGUGCUCAAUAAACAAAAUACAAGUGAUAACAUUUGGAUGUGUCCUGAAACAUUGGCAGCUUUUUCACAUUAAAUGUGCGUGUAACAAUACAUUGAAUUAACUUUCAAAGUCAUUCACAUCACAUGUAAUCUGAAGGAAAACACAAGCAAUCUUUUACUACACGCUUAGUGUGUUACUCUGGUGUGGGUGGAAAAGAAAAGUAAUAUGUUUCAAUGUUUACAGAAUAAGAGACACUAAGUGGAGAAAAUAAUGGAGUUGAUGGUAAAAGAAGAGAUGAGAAAGAAAAGUAAGAGUUUUCUUCUCUGCUUUCACCUGCUGACUCUUCUCCAACUCGCUGCGCCCUCUUCAGGUAACGAAACACAUCCAGGGAUUCCAGAUCACUUAGUGAAGUUCUACUUACUCACAUUAGAGUUGAACUGAAAACAUGCACAUACACAUAUGUUGUUUCCUCGUGUGAUUCUUUUUUUCUAUUUGAAUAAAUGGAAAGUGAUUUAAAACAGAUUAUAAAAAUGCCUUAAAUGUUAUUAUUAUUAUAUUAUUUUCCACACUUUGAUCUUUCGUACUUCUCUCUUUCUCAAACUCUCUCACACACACACACACACACACACACACACACACGUCCUCCACACGUUAUCUUGCUUUCAGCUCAAAACAUCACCACGUCAGCCGCUGACGGUUUCCGCACUCACCCAGCCGACGUCACAGUGGCUGUUGGAGAACCGGCCGUGUUUCGCUGUGGAGUUCCCGAAGCUUCUCCAGACUUCACAUUCACCUUGCGGGGGGCGCACGGAAACUACCUCCUCACGUGCCCCUCGGGCCACGUGGAAGACGUUCCCCAGGCUCUCUAUGGAAGUUGUGAGGUGAGAAAUGGAGAGUCAUCAGCUGUGUGGACCCUAAAGGGAACUUCUUUCUCCGACAACGGGACACAGGUCUCCUGUCAGCAGCCAAAGAAUCCUAAUAGCGCUGCUGCCGUGCUGCACGUCUACGAUAACGGCACCAGCCACGCCAUUCUCAUUGGUUGUAUCAUUGGCGGCUUCUUUGGCACGUUGUUGGUCUUCGGCUUACUGUACGUCAUGCUGCAGAGAUCUGAGAGGCUGCAGAAGUGCUUCUGGAGCGGAGAAACACCGGAGGAUUCGACCACAAUAGUAACAAAGGAGUAAAAGGAGACGGCUCUCUAUGUUGCUCUCUACCUUCGAACCCACAUGGAAAGAAUGGAAGCGUCAAACGUUUUUGGACAAUCUAAGUGAAAAAGAGCUGUAUUUAUGUCUGGAGGUUAUUCUGUUGAGGCCGGGUCCAUCCUGGACAUCUUCACUUUUACCUUUUUUGUCUUGAAUAACCGGGCCUUGCACACGUUAUAUACAUCCUACCAGUAUAUAAUGUAGCAUGCACACAACAGCACAUGUGGCGGUUACUUUAUAAACUUUAUAUACUAUAAAUGUGUGAAAUGUCUUAUGCGAUGUUAUCAAAGUGGGGAGGGAUUUAGUGUUGAAUGAGGCCCAGAAUAGCUGUUUUGUGCUUCCACAUAUGUAUCACAGCUGUGUUCCCAAAAAACGAUUAAAGGUGAAAUACUAGUCGUGUCCUCGCCAGGCUCGUCCAACCAGUUUAGUAAGUUUCUCUUUCACGGUCGCUCCACUUGAAGGAAGCACUCAGUGCCCAGAUUAGUUUGUUGUUUUCACACUACACUGUGACACGUUCACCUUUCUCAUAGAAUGGAUUGAGAAAAUGUGUCCGAACGUUACAUUUUGAAUGGUCCUCGUGCUUUUCUCAUGUUGUCUUUGCCUAAAACGAGGUGUGUGGUCCUUUGCAAUCGUCCAAACCGAAGCUGCAUUAUAUCAAAACAAAAACUAUUUGCAAACAACUGUGGAUUUCUGUAUCCCUCGACCUUCAGAAGCUGGGGGGACUCGCCGCCAGUGACCCCACACUGACGUGGUCGCGGCGUUGGCGUGUCUGUUGCUCCCCCCUGGUGGUGAGCGCGUUCCAUGCUGUCAGGAACAAACGCUCACUGCCACGGACCCUUCGGCCUUCACGUGCAUUCACCAGCUUCAAGAGGCAGCAGUGUGAGCCGGAUCAAGGCUGCUUUUGUCUCAUCUGGUAGCCGUCAUCCAGCUUCAUUAUAGUCAUUUGCGGUGCGCGGGGUUGAUUCACCCAUUCACAAGUUUGCCAACACGGACAGUUUCUAUCUUUCUUAAAGAGCCAUCGUUGGGUUUAGUCUAAGGUAGCCAAAUUGCUUUCGCCAAGUCCCCUUUUAACUUUGCAAUGCCCUCCAACUGGUUUUUAAUGAUCCUGCUAAUUUGUCCAUAUGACAAAAAAAAACAUGAUACACCAAAACGUUCCUCAAUGACAAUGAUAUGCUAUAAAUUAUAAAUAAAUGCAUUGCAUCUUUAAGGAAACACGCAAUAUCUGGGAAAUCAACGCAUUAAAGUGUUUUUUCACUG
This is a long non-coding RNA of Gasterosteus aculeatus aculeatus (three-spined stickleback), 2873 nucleotides long. Lineage: Eukaryota; Metazoa; Chordata; Actinopteri; Perciformes; Gasterosteidae. The record is from Ensembl.